UACGGAGGGGGCAAGCGUUAUUCGGAAUUAUUGGGCGUAAAGGGCGCGUAGGCGGCUAGAUGUGUCAAAGGUGAAAUCCCUCGGCUCAACUGAGGAACUGCCUUUGAAACUGUCUGGCUUGAGGCCGGGAGAGGGUAGCGGAAUUCCCAGUGUAGCGGUGAAAUGCGUAGAUAUUGGGAGGAACACCUGUGGCGAAAGCGGCGCACUGGACCACAUCUGACGCUGAGGCGCGAAAGCUAGGGGAGCAAACAGG
RNAcentral lists this ribosomal RNA (253 nucleotides) under uncultured bacterium. RNAcentral's name for it is "partial 16S ribosomal RNA". It matches the Rfam family "Bacterial small subunit ribosomal RNA", at positions 524 to 776 of the family's 1533-position model. The record is from RNAcentral.